AACCCUUUAAAAAUGGACAAGGCCUUCUCCGCUUGUGGGGUCAGGGGUGUCCCGCGGGCAGGUUUGGCGCUCGGGCCUCUGCCGGGCUUGCCCCAGUGCUGCUUUUUCCCAUCCAAGGAGCGCGGGACCCGGGGAAGGAGAGUGAGGCUGCUGGCGCCGCGGCGGUCACCCCCGGGGGCCGCCGCUUCCGCGGGGCCUGGCGGCCCGCUGAGGACUCCGCCAGCAGUGCUUCCGGGCACAGCACACACAGCAGUCCCGCGGGGCUCGCCGCGCUCCGGUUCCCAGGCCUGGGCUGCGUCCGCCUCACCUGGAGGGGCUGCUGAACUCCAGGUUGCUCAGGCCCCGCCCCAGGGGGCGGGCUCGCCAGGUGCGAGGUGGGGCCCGGCGUGAUGCCGCUGCUGCUGGACUGGGAGCUCUCGCUCUGAGGACCAUUGGCUUACAAGUGACCUUACACUCCUGGCCGUCGCACUCAGAGCCCCGCAGUCUAACGCCAGCCUGUCUGGGCCACAGCUUGCAUGCACUUCGCCAGUCCCUGUUCCUGAUUUCCCCUCUGCCCUCGCACGGGACUCCUCCUCUGCAAGGGUCUUUGCCAUUUUUACCUUUCACACUCUCCCCGCCCCGCGCCCCCACCCCCCCCCCCCCCGGCCUCAGGGGGUCAGCACAUUUGCUAGCUCUCCCAGAAAGCCUCUUCGCGUUUCUCUGGGCAGGAGCCUCAGACCCUCCUCUAGACGCGCACUGAGCUUUUCCCCUCCUUGCUCCAAUACUGUAGCUCGCUCGCCAUGGCAUUCACUUGCUGCCAGAUUAUAAGGAGACAUAUCUAGUAAGAAGCUGCCUACUGCCAGUGUCAAAAAGGUUGCCACCGGUGUUCUCCUCCAGGAUUUUGAUGGUUUCCUGUCUCACAGUUAAGCCUUUAAUCCAUUUGGAAUUUAUUUUUGUGUAUGGUGUAAGAAAGUGGUCCAGUUUCAUUCCUUUGCAUGAAUAGACAUUUUUCCAAAGAAGACAUACAGAUGGCUAACAGACACAUGAAAAUAUGCUCAACAUCACUCAUCAUCAGGGAAAUACAAAUCAAAACUACAGUGAGCUAUCACCUCACACCUGUCAGAAUGGCUAAAAUUAACAACAUAGGAAACAACAGAUGUUGGUGAGGAUGCGGAGAAAGGGGAACCCUCUUAAAUUAUUGGUAAGAAUGCAAACUGGUGCAACCAUUCUGGAAAACAGUAUGGAGGUUCCUCAGAAAGUUAAAAAUAGUACUCUACAAUCCAGCAAUUGCAAUACUAGGUGCUUACCCAAAGGAUACAAAAAUACUGAUUGAAAGGGAUACAUACAGCCAGGUGUUUAUAGCAGCAUUAUCAACAAUAGCCAAAUUAUGGAAAGAGCCCAAAUGUCCAUCAACUGAAGAAUGGGUGAAGAAGGUGUGGUGUGUAUGUACACACACACACACACACACAGGAAUAUUACUCAGCCAUAAAAAAGAAUGAAAUCUUGCCAUUUGCAAUGAUGUGGAUGGAACUAGAGAGUACUAUGCUAAGUGAAAUAAGUCAGCCAGAGAAAGACAAACACCAUAUGAUUUCACUCAUAUGUGGAAUUUAAGAAACAAAACAGAUGAACAUAGAGGGGGGAAGAGAGAGGCAAACCAUAAAACAGACUCUUAAGUACAGGGAAAAAACUGAGGGUUGCUAGAGAGGAGGUGGCUGGGGGAUGGGCUAAAUAGGUGACAGGUAUUAAGGAGGGCACUGGUUGUGAUAAGAACUGGGUGUUAUAAGUAGGUGAUGAAUCAUUAAAUUCUAUACCUGAAACUAAUAUUGAACCAUAUGUUAACUAACUGGAAUUUAAAUAAAAACUUGAAAAAAAAAAGAAACAAAACAAAUGAACAUGGGGGAAAAUAAAAAAGAGAGACAAACUAAGAAACAGACUCUUAAUUACAGAGAACAAACUAUGGUUACCAGAAGGAAGGUGGGCAGGGGAUGGGUUAAAUGGGUGAUGGGGAUUAAAGAGGGCACGUGUGAUGAGCACUGGGUGUUGUAUGUAAGUGAUGAAUCAUUGAAUUCUGCACCUGAAACUAAUAUUACACUUCAUGUUAAGUAACUGGAAUUUCAAUAAAAAUUUAAAAAAAUAAAAAUAAAAAGGCAAAAAAAGCUAACUGUGAAACAAAAUACACAAUCCACGAACAAUUAUGACUACUGAGGAAAUGCAUAAAAAGUUUAUCUCAAAACUGGCAAAUUUUAAAUUUUCCUGGAAAAGGACUAUCUUUUCCAACUGGGAAAUAUGCACAUCUAGCAAAUAUUCAUUCUCAUGCUUGAAAUAAUUUGAGACACCAAGGGAAUUGAGGUAGUUGGGCCAGUUAAAACCACGAGCGAGAAUUAAUCUCUUCCUCUUACUAUCCUUUCCAAGCUCCUGCUGAAUGGGAGGGCUCUUUAAGGAUUUGGCUUUUAUGUACCUGCAACUCCAACCCAGAAUUUACUACUGAUAGUCCUUUUCAUGGCAGUAUUUAGUUGUUCUUGGGUUGAGAUAAUCUAAAUAGCUGGAAUCUAUUUCAGAAUUGUCUGACUCUUGCAGGACAUGCCUUUACAAAAAAGCCUCCUGUUCAGAGCUGGAUUUUUACUGUAAUCACAGAAUUUAGUUUAUAAAACCAAGCCAUAAAUGGUGUUCAUGCACAGGGCCAGUUUGACCUGGUUGCCUAAAUAGAAGAAACCCCAACUGCUUAUUCAUCCUUUUUCUCCACUAUUUGAGAUUAUCUUAAAUAUAUAUAUACAUAUGAUAUGAUAUGAUAUCAUAUCAUAUCAAAAAGGUUUGGUGUAGAGGUCUAGUUCCUAUUGGGAUUUUGUUAAGACAGUAUAAAUGAAUUUAAAUAAGAAAUGUUGUGUGCACCAAGUAACGAUUCUGAUUCAUUUACAUCAAACGUGUUUACAGUGUGCUUGCUCCUAGAAACCCUAUGAGCCAAAUUGUUUAUCUUAGUUUUGAUUACAUUGAAACAAACAUGUAGAGCUAAGGAAAGAAACACAUUACCAAGGAGCAGGGGUAAAGGAAUAGUCAAUGUAGUUGAAAUAUCCAUGAAGCUUUUCAGGGUAAGAGGAGUUGAGUGAUAAAAAAACUGCCAAACUCUCAGUCAGCCCUGCCAGAUGUCAGUCUCUGUGUCAUCAUGGGAAAUCACACAUCUUCCUUAUAGCCUCACUCUGUGUCACCAUCACCUUACCACUCCCCAUGAACUCUGAUGACCAAGCAGGUAGAUAAACACCACUUAUGGGGCAGCUAUGGGUGAACAUCAACAAUCCUCCUCUAAACUUUAUCCAACUGUGGUUUCCAGUUUAGUGAUAGUUUAGAAGUCUUUUGAAAUGUAAUUGUGGACUAGAAAAUUUCUACAGCAAGAGUCCCCCAAAAUUUCUUUUUUUUUUUUUUUAAUAUUUUAUUUAUUUAUUUAUUCAUGAGAGAGAGAGAGAGGCAGAGGGAGAAGCAGGCUCCCAAGGAGCAGGGAGCCCGAUGCGGGACUCGAUCCCAGGACCCUGGGAUCAUGACCUGAGCCGAAGGCAGACGCCCAACCAUCUGAGCCACCCAGGCGCCCCCCCCCAAAAUUUCUACAGCAAGAGUCCCCCAAAUUUGUAAAUUAUGUUUUUACUAAUCUAAAGCAUGGUGGUCAGAAUUUACCAAUAGUAAAGUCCCUGAGUAGGAAAUGGAGAGUUGUUACUGUCUCCUUAUUGGUUAUAUCCUGGGAAACCACAGAAAAUGUUCAAGGCAGUUGCCUGAGAGAGAGAGAGCUAUCUGUAAAGCUUUGAAUCUUCCAUGCAAUGUCUGUCUACAAUUAGAAAAUGUAUAUAGGUUUUAAAAUUUUCAAAAUAAAAGUGAGGGAGAAAACCACCACAAAAGUUAAAAACAGCUACUAAGAAUUACUGGGAAAAAAAUUUAUUACUCAGAAUGUAGCCAAGGAGAGAUCUCUCCACUCUCAGAGGACGGGGAUAGCAUUUGGACCAGGUCAUGUUCAUAGCAUCAUCUGCAGCAGCAGGUGAUUACCAUCACUCCAUUUCUUAGUCUAUGGUUAUGCCCUAUGGGAACUCAUUAAGUACUUACUAUCUUUGUGUAGCUUAUAAGGCUUUGUAAGUAUUAUUAAUUUGAAGAAACAAAGAAAAAUAUAUGCUAUCAUAAACUAUGGACUUGUGACCAAAGGUUGUGUCAUGAUUAAUAAAUCCACUUCUCGUUCUCAUUCAUCCAUUCAUUCAUUCAGCAAAUAUUCCUAUAGUAUACUAAAUGCUAAACCAUAUGCUAGACUCUGGGAAUCCAGCAGUUACCCACAUAGACAUGAUCACAGCUUAUAAUCAUUUAUAGUCCAUUAAUUCACUCAAUGGAUAUUUCUGGAGUAUCUACCAUAUGGCAGGCAUUCUUCUCUAUACUGGGAUAUGCAAGUAAACAAAAAAGAAAAAAAAAUUCCUGACCUUGUGGGGCUUAUUUUUAGUGGACAAUUUCCAAUAAUAAGCACCAAACAUGAAAAAUAAAUAAAUGAUAAAAUAUGCUAGAAAUAUAAAAGUAUCAUUAAUGGCAAAAUAUAAAGCAGGGGAAGGGAUCUCAGAAGUUCAGAUCGACUGGUUGUAAUUUUAAAUAUAGUAGUCCACGUAAGUUUCAUUGAGAAGGUGACACAUUUGGGAAAAAACUCAAAGGAGCUAGGAAGUUGGCCAUGCAGGUAUCUAGAGAACGAAAGUACUGGGGCAGAGAAAACAGACAGUGCAAAGGCCCUAAGGUGAGUGGAUGACUGGCAUUUUCAAGAAGGAAAAAAGAGGCACUGCUUCAAGCAGAGAGAAAGUAGCAGGUGAAGAGGUCAGAGAGGUAACAGGGAUCCAGACCCUGGGCUUUGCAGGUCUUACGAACAAUCUAAAGUAUCGCUCUUGCUGAUGUAGUUAGAGCAGACUAUAGUGUACAAAGUUAAAAACAGACCCAAUAAAAGGUAAUUGCCAUAAUCCAGGUGAAGAGUAUUGAUAGCUUAAGCAAAAGUGAAAUAUCUUCUGAAAGGAGAGCUAGUGGGAUUUCCUAAUGGACUAGAUGUGAAAUGUGAGAGUAAAAAGAAGUCAAGGAAGACUAAAGUUUUUGAUCUGAGCAAUUGGGAGAAUGGAAGUGUCAUUACCUGGGAGAAAGAAGGUUGCAAGAGAAGCAAGUUUUGUUUUGUUUUCGUUUUUGGGGUUUUUUUUUCCUCCUUAGGGAGGGAGUUGCCAGAAGUCUGGAGAUUAUGGUUUCUGUUAGGGGCAUAUUAAGUUUGAGGUGUCUGUUACAUAUCCAAGUGAAUAUCCCUUAUAUUUCCAAGGUGGUUUGAUAUGUGAACAUGGAAUUUAAAGGAUAUAAAUUUUGGAAUCAUUUGUGUUUAAAGGCACUUGGAGCUGCUAGGCUGGAUGACAUUACCAAGGAGGUGAAUAUGGAUAGAGCUGAGGACCCAAACUAAUCGCUGGGUCAUACCACCAGUGAGAGGUCUGAGAAAGGAGGAUUAAAAAAAAAAAAGAAAAAAAGGAACCAAGAAGGCAUGCCAGUGAGGUGGGAGGAAAACCUGGUAGGAGCAGAGCCUGAAAGUCACCGAGAGAAAGUACAUCACGGAGAAGGAAGUAAUCACAUGUCAAAUCCUGCCAAGCAAAUCUUGUGGUAAUUCACCAUAGUAAGGGAAAGACCAGAAAAAUCACUAAAAAUAUGAUUAAAGUCACAAAAGAACCAUUUGUAAUAGACCUUCUCAGUGAUAUGUAGUAACUGAUCACCAGCUAGUAAUAAAUUUUCUUUCAA
Molecule: long non-coding RNA, 5748 nt
Organism: Mirounga angustirostris (Northern elephant seal)
Lineage: Eukaryota; Metazoa; Chordata; Mammalia; Carnivora; Phocidae
Exons: 2
Source: RefSeq, a predicted model, not a curated record